RNAcentral lists this ribosomal RNA (497 nucleotides) under uncultured bacterium. RNAcentral's name for it is "partial 16S ribosomal RNA". It matches the Rfam family "Bacterial small subunit ribosomal RNA", at positions 28 to 507 of the family's 1533-position model. The record is from RNAcentral.
GAUGAACGCUGGCGGCGUGCCUAAUACAUGCAAGCCGAGCGAACAGACGAGGAGCUUGCUCCUCUGACGUUAGCGGCGGACGGGUGAGUAACACGUGGAUAACCUACCUAUAAGACUGGGAUAACUUCGGGAAACCGGAGCUAAUACCGGAUAACAUGUUGAACCGCAUGGUUCAACAGUGAAAGACGGUCUUGCUGUCACUUAUAGAUGGAUCCGCGCCGCAUUAGCUAGUUGGUAAGGUAACGGCUUACCAAGGCAACGAUGCGUAGCCGACCUGAGAGGGUGAUCGGCCACACUGGAACUGAGACACGGUCCAGACUCCUACGGGAGGCAGCAGUAGGGAAUCUUCCGCAAAGGGCGAAAGCCUGACGGAGCAACGCCGCGUGAGUGAAGAAGGUCUUCGGAUCGUAAAACUCUGUUAUUAGGGAAGAACAAAUGUGUAAGUAACUAUGCACGUCUUGACGGUACCUAAUCAGAAAGCCACGGCUAACUACGUG